Molecule: long non-coding RNA, 580 nt
Filed under: Olea europaea subsp. europaea
Lineage: Eukaryota; Viridiplantae; Streptophyta; Magnoliopsida; Lamiales; Oleaceae
Source: RNAcentral
CCAUUCAAUAUUAUUAAAAUCUUAUUCAUAAUAGGAUAAUGUCAUGUCUACAGCUUCCCACUAAACAUUACAACAUACUUGAGCGAGCUUAUUUUGAACAUAAUUAUAAAUAGAUUCUUCUAAGUGUUUGUGUCUGAGAUUGACAGAAGAGAGAGAGCAAUUAUUUUGAGCAGCUCUUUUAUCUGACAUUAAUAUUUGUAGUUAGAAUCAUUUUCUCGAACUGCCAUCUGUAUCCUUCCUCUGACAUCAACCUGCCCAUAAAUUUGAUUUCCGGCCCUGCUCGCCUCCUUCUGUUGAGUGAGAAUCAUUCGAGUUUUUCUUUCUUCUUCCAUUAUGUCCGGCCAAGCUUUUCCGGCAACUUCUUUUCGCUUGGUCAAAUUCUGAUACCUCUUGAAAUCUACAGAAGAACCAUUGCAUAAGAGGGAUAGAAAAGCUGCAGGUCGAAUGAGCAUUCUAAUUGAUUAGUCUUAGUUUGACGGUUUAGAAGCAACACGACGAAGAUGCAAGAAAAGUAGUGAGCCUCCUUGUUGUAAGUUUGUUAUAGAUCGGAGAUGCUAAGUAUGACUCUAGACAUAUAAAA